GGGUCUGUGGGGUAGCUUGGUAUCCUUGCAGCUUGGGGUGCUGUUGACCCCGGUUCAAAUCCGGGCAGACCCA
This 73-nucleotide transfer RNA is filed under the name Methanobacteriota archaeon. Its description in RNAcentral is "Euryarchaeota archaeon (groundwater metagenome) tRNA-Pro". It matches the Rfam family "tRNA". Rfam says of the family: Transfer RNA (tRNA) molecules are approximately 80 nucleotides in length. Lineage: Archaea; Methanobacteriati; Methanobacteriota. The record is from RNAcentral.